Molecule: long non-coding RNA, 396 nt
Organism: Larimichthys crocea (large yellow croaker)
Lineage: Eukaryota; Metazoa; Chordata; Actinopteri; Sciaenidae
Exons: 2
Source: RefSeq, a predicted model, not a curated record
CAGGUACAGUCUGUGUGUGUGUGUACAGGUACAGUCUGUGUGUACAGGUACAUGUUGUGUGUACAGGUACAUGUUGUGUGUACAGGUACAUGCUGUGUGUACAGGUACAGUCUGUGUGUACAGGUACAGUCUGACCUGUGACACACAGCAGGUGUCUGACUUUAACCUUUGACCUCUGACAUCCCAGCAUGCAUCUUCCACUCCUGACUUCUGGAUCAUUCCAAACAUUUCCAGGCUUUUCAAGGACCUGGACCUUGAGUGAAGUCGGCCUGACGACAGCAGCUGUCUCUAACGAGGACGCUCCUUAAAGGGCCGGGACAUUUAAAGGACGGCAGCCUGCGUGCUAACCGUAACUGAAGCUAAGCUAGUUACGUUACGGCUGGUUACGUUAGCGUU